CGAAGGUGGCAAGCGUUGUUCGGAUUCACUGGGCGUACAGGGUGUGUAGGCGGUUUGGUAAGCCUUCUGUUAAAGCUUCGGGCCCAACCCGGAAAGCGCAGAGGGUACUGCCAGGCUAGAGGGCGGGAGAGGAGCGCGGAAUUCCCGGUGUAGCGGUGAAAUGCGUAGAGAUCGGGAGGAAGGCCGGUGGCGAAGGCGGCGCUCUGGAACGUACCUGACGCUGAGACACGAAAGCGUGGGGAGCAAACAGGAUUAGAUACCCUGGUAGUCCACGCCCUAAACUAUGGAUACUAAGUGUCGGCGGGUUACCCCCGGUGCCGCAGCUAACGCAUUAAGUAUCCCGCCUGGGAAGUACGGCCGCAAGGUUG
RNAcentral lists this ribosomal RNA (368 nucleotides) under uncultured organism. Its description in RNAcentral is "bacterial SSU rRNA". It matches the Rfam family "Bacterial small subunit ribosomal RNA", at positions 526 to 896 of the family's 1533-position model. The record is from RNAcentral.